This 591-nucleotide ribosomal RNA is filed under the name uncultured fungus. RNAcentral describes it as "eukaryotic LSU rRNA". The stretch from base 218 to 371 matches the Rfam family "5.8S ribosomal RNA". The record is from RNAcentral. Lineage: Eukaryota; Fungi.
AGUACACCUUCGUAACAAGGUCUCCGUAGGUGAACCUGCGGAGGGAUCAUUACACAAAUAUGAAGGCGGGCUGGAACCUCUCGGGGUUACAGCCUUGCUGAAUUAUUCACCCUUGUCUUUUGCGUACUUCUUGUUUCCUUGGUGGGUUCGCCCACCACUAGGACAAACAUAAACCUUUUGUAAUUGCAAUCAGCGUCAGUAACAAAUUAAUAAUUACAACUUUCAACAACGGAUCUCUUGGUUCUGGCAUCGAUGAAGAACGCAGCGAAAUGCGCUAAGUAGUGUGAAUUGCAGAAUUCAGUGAAUCAUCGAAUCUUUGAACGCACAUUGCGCCCUUUGGUAUUCCAAAGGGCAUGCCUGUUCGAGCGUCAUUUGUACCCUCAAGCUUUGCUUGGUGUUGGGCGUCUUGUCUCUAGCUUUGCUGGAGACUCGCCUUAAAGUAAUUGGCAGCCGGCCUACUGGUUUCGGAGCGCAGCACAAGUCGCACUCUCUAUCAGCAAAGGUCUAGCAUCCAUUAAGCCUUUUUUUUCAACUUUUUGACCUCGGAUCAGGUAUGGAUACCCGCUGAACUUAACCCAUAUCAAUAAGCGG